UACAGAGGUCUCAAGCGUUGUUCGGAUUCAUUGGGCGUAAAGGGUGCGUAGGUGGCGCCGUAAGUCAGGUGUGAAAUUUCGGAGCUUAACUCCGAAACUGCAUUUGAUACUACGGUGCUUGAGGACUGGAGAGGAGACUGGAAUUUACGGUGUAGCAGUGAAAUGCGUAGAGAUCGUAAGGAAGACCAGUGGCGAAGGCGGGUCUCUGGACAGUUCCUGACACUGAGGCACGAAGGCCAGGGGAGCAAACGGG
RNAcentral lists this ribosomal RNA (253 nucleotides) under uncultured bacterium. RNAcentral describes it as "partial 16S ribosomal RNA". It matches the Rfam family "Bacterial small subunit ribosomal RNA", at positions 524 to 776 of the family's 1533-position model. The record is from RNAcentral.